This is a long non-coding RNA of Anser brachyrhynchus (Pink-footed goose), 2031 nucleotides long. The record is from Ensembl. Lineage: Eukaryota; Metazoa; Chordata; Aves; Anseriformes; Anatidae.
AUGCGAAACUCUUUGAAGUUUUCAAACAUGCUCCAGGCAUCUUUUCAGAGGAUCACCCUGAAUCUGCUCUUCAUCAAGGCUUCCCCAGGCCAUUACGUACAUUCUAUCGGCCUCUACUGGUCUGGGAGCGUAGGGAGACAAGACAGUUAUUUUAAGUUCAGAUCAGCUCCUUCAUUCACUGCACUGCCUAGCAUCACUAAGAGCUACAGUGGGACAGCCACAGGGACACCUCGAGGGCAGGAACAAAUGGCAAGUGCUGGGAACCGCCUUCACCAGUACUGCUGCUGCUGCGAGAAAUGUCUGAAGAACAACAGCCUCCAAAAUGAAAGGAACUAGGGAAGGCCAUCUAAUCCAAUAGGCCUGGGCUUGUUUUGAAGUUAGAGGAGUGGUGCCAGUUUUAAAAAUGCUUUUAAUCUUUAUUCUGCCAUGAAAAUUGCCUUUACAUACAUUAUUUAAAACUUUUCCAUUCAUCCAAAGUUGUGCAUGCUGCUGUAGGGAAAUGCAGACUUUGUAGUGAAGGUUUCACUAACAGCAUAUCAACAGUUGCAUGUGCUUCUUCUUUUCCUGGUCCUCCUCCAAAUCGGUAAGGCUCUGCUCUUUGAUACCUAAAAAUGUCGCUAGAAAGCUGGGAACUGAUCAGCUGCAACAUUCAAAAAUUAUGCUGUUAAAGACAGAUCUCUGGUAUUACUGAGAGGGAUACAGCAUUGACUAAAGACUGUUUCUCAGUUGUUCUAUUAAUUUGUAGCUGGACAACAUUAGCUUUGCAUUUUUUAUUGCCCUACGUGCUUUUGAAAAUCACCCUAGCUGGCCAAAGUUGUUCAAAACCUUUUGAAGCCAAAAAAAAAUUCGACAGAAUUGAUGCUAGAUCAGGUAGUCAAAGUCAAACAGAGUAUUCUGCCCAUUCUCUAUUUAAGGGUUCUCAUUGCUAGCCCCUCUCCCUUGUCUUGAAGAGCACUGCUGACAAUGUCUGUGUCUGUGUGCUUCAGGCUGGGGAUGUCUCUGGCCAAGGCUAGUCCUGAAGACUGGGAAGAAAUAUGGUAAAAGAGAAAGGCAAUGGGGGUGGUCUACUGUGGAUGGGAUGGUGGACAAGCACUUAACGCAUGUGGGCGGGAGAGAAGAGCCUACAGAGAUCAGAUGAGACUUGGCAAGAUGGAUGUAACAGCUAUAGGAUGAGCAGAGCAAGCCAAAACAAGCUUGAAGCAUGGCCAGAUGUCAAUGGACUGCCCAGUGGAACAGAUAAACAUGUUUAUACUGUCCAGUGAGGAGAGAGAUGGAAGUUCACGGAGAUGACAGCUGUGGUAGAGAAGUCAAUAGAGAUCAAUAGCACCUAUCUGAAGCGUCACGUGUCUUUGACUAGGAAAAGGAUGGGUGAAAUACCUCGUGCAUCCUGCCAGACUAGCUGACAACAACCAAAAUGAGACAUUCAUGAUGGUACACAAUGCACAACAGAUAAUUCUGGUUGACUGAGAAGUAGGAGAAGCUGAAACGGGGUGUAGGGCAGAGAACGUCUACGUGUUGAUAGUUUCAAAACAGAUACGGAAACUCAUGCGCUAGGUCAGUGUCCAUUAGCUUAGGGGAAGAAUACUCUAAAAGGCAGCUACAGCUUCCUAAAUGGUGCUGACUUUACAACCCCAACUGAUUGGUGGUGACCAGGGAUACCACUCCUGUAGUGCACAGCAACUAUCUCCUCAGUCCUCAGAAAGUGGCAUCUCUAGCUGUUCCGAGGCUAACAGCACAGCCUUUGAGAGCAGGUACCAGAUGAGGGUCUGCAGGUGGGGGAACAGAAAAUCUGAAAAUCCUGCUAGGAUUUAAGAACUGAGUGUCCAAGCACCCGGUAGUGUCAUGUUUUAAGCAUUUUUGUUUGCGUGCACCAUCAAAAACUUGCUGAGUUUAACAGACAUGGAACACUAUUCAUGAGGACUCCAGUGUUAGCUAAGUGCUUGGCUCAGGUACUCGUUAGCUGCUCAACUUCCUCUAACAAAUUGUCUCUGAGUCAGCUGCAGAAGAAUAAAAAGUGAAACUGAGAAUACA